Molecule: non-coding RNA, 75 nt
Organism: Podarcis lilfordi (Lilford's wall lizard)
Lineage: Eukaryota; Metazoa; Chordata; Lepidosauria; Squamata; Lacertidae
Source: the annotation of a GenBank genome assembly
UGAAUAAUGGCUCAGUUGGUAGAGCAUCAGACUCUUAAUCUCAGGGUUGUGGGUUUGAGUCCCGUGUUAGGUGAA